RNAcentral lists this ribosomal RNA (921 nucleotides) under uncultured Bacteroidota bacterium. RNAcentral's name for it is "bacterial SSU rRNA". It matches the Rfam family "Bacterial small subunit ribosomal RNA", at positions 1 to 916 of the family's 1533-position model. Lineage: Bacteria; Pseudomonadati; Bacteroidota. The record is from RNAcentral.
GGAUCCAGAUUUGAUUCUGGCUCAGGAUGAACGCUAGCUACAGGCUUAACACAUGCAAGUCGAGGGGCAGCGGGAUUGAAGCUUGCUUCAAUUGCCGGCGACCGGCGCACGGGUGAGUAACGCGUAUCCAACCUUCCGUACACUCAGGGAUAGCCUUUCGAAAGAAAGAUUAAUACCUGAUAGUAUCUUAAGCACACAUGUAAUUAAGAUUAAAGAUUUAUCGGUGUACGAUGGGGAUGCGUUCCAUUAGGUAGUAGGCGGGGUAACGGCCCACCUAGCCAACGAUGGAUAGGGGUUCUGAGAGGAAGGUCCCCCACAUUGGAACUGAGACACGGUCCAAACUCCUACGGGAGGCAGCAGUGAGGAAUAUUGGUCAAUGGACGAGAGUCUGAACCAGCCAAGUAGCGUGAAGGAUGAAGGUCCUACGGAUUGUAAACUUCUUUUAUAAGGGAAUAAACCCUCCCACGUGUGGGAGCUUGUAUGUACCUUAUGAAUAAGCAUCGGCUAACUCCGUGCCAGCAGCCGCGGUAAUACGGAGGAUGCGAGCGUUAUCCGGAUUUAUUGGGUUUAAAGGGAGCGCAGACGGGUCGUUAAGUCAGCUGUGAAAGUUUGGGGCUCAACCUUAAAAUUGCAGUUGAUACUGGCGUCCUUGAGUGCGGUUGAGGUGUGCGGAAUUCGUGGUGUAGCGGUGAAAUGCUUAGAUAUCACGAAGAACUCCGAUUGCGAAGGCAGCACACUAAUCCGUAACUGACGUUCAUGCUCGAAAGUGUGGGUAUCAAACAGGAUUAGAUACCCUGGUAGUCCACACGGUAAACGAUGGAUACUCGCUGUUGGCGAUAUACUGUCAGCGGCUUAGCGAAAGCGUUAAGUAUCCCACCUGGGGAGUACGCCGGCAACGGUGCAACUCAAAGGAAUUGACGG